RNAcentral lists this small RNA (127 nucleotides) under Klebsiella pneumoniae. Its description in RNAcentral is "RtT sRNA". It matches the Rfam family "RtT RNA". From Rfam's summary of the family: This family represents a bacterial cis-regulatory element known as RtT RNA. The exact function of RtT is unknown although it is thought that it may be involved in changing the cellular response in relation to amino acid starvation. Lineage: Bacteria; Pseudomonadati; Pseudomonadota; Gammaproteobacteria; Enterobacterales; Enterobacteriaceae. The record is from RNAcentral.
UAUUCUGCCCCACGGGGAAGGAUGAGAAGCUUCGACUAAGGUUCGACUCGAGCGNNAGAACGUUGCCGCAGGCAACGGCCCGAAGGGCGAGGAGCGAUAGCGACGAGUUAUCCUUCCCCCACCACCA